AGCUCCGCCUUUGCCUCCAAGGCUUUGCUGGCUUGUGCGGCAUCCUGCUCCGUCUGCAGGUUGUGCUUCCGGUGCGGAGGUCAGGGACAAGAUGGUGCCACCGGUGCAGGUCUCUCCGCUCAUCAAGAUUACCUAAAACCUCGGGCAGAAGAGGAGAGGAGGAUAGCAGCAGAAGAGAAGAAGAAGCAGGAUGAACUGAAACGGAUUGCCAGAGAAUUGGCAGAAGAUGACAGCAUAUUAAAGUGAGUGACCCUGCGACCCACUCUUUGGACCAGCAGCGGAUGAAUAAAGCUUCCUGUGUUGUGUGAUA
RNAcentral lists this long non-coding RNA (310 nucleotides) under Homo sapiens (human). RNAcentral's name for it is "non-protein coding lnc-ATP5ME-2:1". The record is from RNAcentral. Lineage: Eukaryota; Metazoa; Chordata; Mammalia; Primates; Hominidae.